GCCGACGUGACGGAAUUGGUAAACGUACCGCCACAGCGGUCCCGGGAGACUCAGGUCUCCCGGGUGCAGGUUCAAUCCCUGCCGUCGGCUCCA
Molecule: transfer RNA, 93 nt
Filed under: Marilutibacter maris
Lineage: Bacteria; Pseudomonadati; Pseudomonadota; Gammaproteobacteria; Lysobacterales; Lysobacteraceae
Description: Lysobacter maris tRNA-OTHER
Rfam family: tRNA
About the family: Transfer RNA (tRNA) molecules are approximately 80 nucleotides in length. Their secondary structure includes four short double-helical elements and three loops (D, anti-codon, and T loops).
Source: RNAcentral